Molecule: ribosomal RNA, 502 nt
Filed under: uncultured Bacillota bacterium
Lineage: Bacteria; Bacillati; Bacillota
Description: bacterial SSU rRNA
Rfam family: Bacterial small subunit ribosomal RNA
Source: RNAcentral
GAUGAACGCUGGCGGCAUGCCUAAUACAUGCAAGUCGAACGAAGCCAGAAGUAAGCUUGCUUACUUCAACGGCUUAGUGGCGAACGGGUGAGUAACACGUAGGUAACCUGCCCUUGUACCUGGGAUAACAGUUGGAAACGAUUGCUAAAACCGGAUGGGAACACUUGAGGCAUCUCAAGAGUUUAAAAGGUGCGUAUGCACUGGACAAGGAUGGACCUGCGUUGCAUUAGCUAGUUGGUGGGGUAGUAGCCUACCAAGGCGAUGAUGCAUAGCCGACCUGAGAGGGUGAUCGGCCACACUGGGACUGAGACACGGCCCAGACUCCUACGGGAGGCAGCAGUAGGGAAUUUUCGGCAAUGGGGGGAACCCUGACCGAGCAAUGCCGCGUGAGUGAAGAAGGAUUUCGGUUCGUAAAGCUCUGUUGUAAGAGAAAAUGUUAUAGACAGGAAAUGGUCUGUGAGUGAUGGUAAUCUUACCAGAAAGCCACGGCUAACUACGUGCC